AGGACGAACGCUGGCGGCGUGCUUAACACAUGCAAGUCGAGCGGAAAGGCCCUUCGGGGUACUCGAGCGGCGAACGGGUGAGUAACACGUGAGCAACCUGCCCUUAGCUUCGGGAUAGCUCCGGGAAACCGGAAUUAAUACCGGAUAUGACUAUGGCCGACAUCAGCCAUGGUGGAAAGUUUUUCGGCUAGGGAUGGACUCGCGGCCUAUCAGCUAGUUGGUGAGGUAACGGCUCACCAAGGCGACGACGGGUAGCCGGCCUGAGAGGGCGACCGGCCACACUGGGACUGAGACACGGCCCAGACUCCUACGGGAGGCAGCAGUGGGGAAUAUUGCGCAAUGGGCGAAAGCCUGACGCAGCGACGCCGCGUGGGGAUGAAUGCCUUCGGGUUGUAAACCCCUUUCAGCAGGACGAAGCGAAAGUGACGGUACCUGCAGAAGAAGCGCCGGCUAACUACGUGCCAGCAGCCGC
Molecule: ribosomal RNA, 472 nt
Filed under: uncultured bacterium
Lineage: Bacteria
Description: SSU rRNA
Rfam family: Bacterial small subunit ribosomal RNA
Source: RNAcentral